Coffea arabica (coffee) is the source of this 1690-nucleotide non-coding RNA. Lineage: Eukaryota; Viridiplantae; Streptophyta; Magnoliopsida; Gentianales; Rubiaceae. The record is from RefSeq and is a predicted model, not a curated record.
CCUUCACGUGCUCCUUUCUUUUGUCCAAUAUUUUGCCGAUUUUCUUCUACAUCCCACCCGCUAACAACACUCCAAGCAGAUCCAGCAAAUUAGACAACUUCUCGGCCAACAACAACAUGCAAAAUAUAAGGAAAGUGCGGUUAAGAAGGUGCUGGGUUUUCAUUCGGCAGUCAAUUGCAACACUCCAGCGGCGAUUCCAGCAAGCUCUCCGGCAGCUUAACCUGCUAGCUGUACUUCCGAUUGCUCCUCCCGUUCGUCAACUGCCUCCAACAACUACAUCGACUGCUUUUCCACCUACGUUGACCAAGUAAAUUCGUACUUCUGGCUUGACCUUUGUUCCCCUACUACUAUUUGUCGAUUUCUUUUUUCCAAAGCACUUUAAACUAUUUUUUUAAUAUCCAGCCUGCGUAUACAUUUUUUUAUUUUCACACAUUUCAGCAAAUGGCUUCUAGGAUUCAAUGGACUGAUGCAAUGGACAAAACUUUUCUCAUAGCCUAUGUUAGCUUUAAGGAAAAUAACUGGUGGGACAAUAAGAAGUCGCUUGAGAUGAACUAUGACAUGUUGGCAGGCCAUUUGGUCAGUAAUGGCAUCAUGACUGUCAUUGGACAGCAAUUGUAGAUCAGAUUCUAUCACAUCAAGAAAAAAUGGAACUUGUUCUCUAAUCUGCAUGGGAUAUCCUCAAAAUUAGAGACCGGGGUUAGAUGGGUUGCGGACAGCUACUGCUUCACUGCUGACGACGAACACUGGGAAAAAGUGGUGCAGACCAAUUCCUCAUAUGCUGAAUUCAAAAAAGAGAACUUAUGCUACUAGUAUGAUCGGCUGACACCAAUACUGCUUGAAAAACACGCCACAGGCAGCCGUGCCCAAUCUGCAAGCGAGGUAGUACCACUGGCACUGCCUCACCGUCAAAGGGCCAACACUUUUGCUAGAAAUCGGAAGGAAAAAAGUAAAGCCUCUAGCUUGAGAUCCCCUAAUCCUGCGGACAUGGGUGAACAAGGGGAUGAAGAUGAAGUCUACUAUGUUCCUCUAGUCCCAGGGGUUGUGGGAGGAAAACGGCCAAUCUCAAGCCUAAGGACAAGUGGUGAGCUGGAAGGGACUAGAGGGUCAAAAUCAACCAAGUCAUCUACUAGUCUAGAGGAUGCUGUUAGCAAAAUUGGACAUUACACCGAACUUGCACUGGAGGACAGACGGAGUAGGAUGGAGUUCGAGUCCCUAUAUAGUGUAAUCCAAUGCUAGGACAUGAUCAAAACAAUGGAGAUUCCCAACCAUUGGAGAAUACAUGCUAACUGCCAUUAUGCCAAUAGUGAUAGAGAGGGGGAACAAGUUGUGUUCUUUAGGAGUUCUGAUGCAGACCGAUACGGCUAUAUCCUUAAGUUAAUGCAGGAGAAGGGCUUGGCUUGAGUUGUAGCUGCUGAAAAUUUUAUAUUUGAAAUUAUGUGUGUUGCUGAGAUUUCAAAGUUUUUUUUAUUUCUUGUUGGCCUGAAGUUUGUGUUUUGGCACAACUUCACCCGUGGGCAGCAUGCCCAAUUUUGAUGCAUGUAACAUAGAGGUCAGCAAUCAUUUUAAUUAGUUUGUUGGUAUGUAUUUCCCUACCUCACUUUGGUGGAGUAGGCUUUGUCAGGAUUGACUAUAAGAUGAAUUUUUUAUUUAUCGGAAUUUGUAUCUUAGUUAGUUUUGCUGUUCUUACGAA